Molecule: long non-coding RNA, 1827 nt
Filed under: Salmo salar (Atlantic salmon)
Lineage: Eukaryota; Metazoa; Chordata; Actinopteri; Salmoniformes; Salmonidae
Description: lncRNA (ENSSSAG00000107283.1)
Source: RNAcentral
CAGGUUGACUCAGUUUUUAUCUGCAGUAAAAGAUAUCAAACAGUGAUGACAGGCAUUGACAGGACAGUCACAUGUUCACUGCUCUCAGACUGAAUCGACAAAGUGAUUGUAUAAUAUACAUGCGUUGUGUUUAGAAAAUAACAAAAAAAUACAGAAAAGCAGUAAAAUAAAACAGUUAUGACAGGCACUGACAGGACGGUCACAGCCACACGUUCACUGGUUAGGUAGGACACAAGAUAUCAUUUAGAUAGGAGCAACAGUAGUGAUACAUGGUUAGGUAGGACACAAGAUAUCAUUUAGAUAGGAACAACAGUAGUGAUACAUGGUUAGGUAGGACACAAGAUAUCAUUUAGAUAGGAGCAACAGUAGUGAUACAUGCCCUCAAUGUGAAGUGAUAUUAAUCCAUAAAUACAGAGCACAAGUACAACCCUUUUUAUAUAAACAUUUGAAGGUUGUAAGAAAAUAAACAUGAAGUUAAUAUUUCAAUAAGUCACCUGCUAGUAAAUCACCUGCUGGUAAUAGCUGCGUGACACAUUGUAGUGCAGUGACCAACGGUGCUAGUUAGCUCGUCAUUAACACGGCUAGCUAAACAAGCAGAAACCUGGUUAACUUGCUGAAAUAGGUCUUCAAUUUAUGAACGGCAAAAUAAAUAUAUACAUAGCCACAUUCGCCAUUGACUUUAGGAUAUAUGAACCAGUUUUCCAAAACCACUAUUGUGUUAUAGAGUUUUAAACAGUUUUUAUAUAAAGAGGAAGAGGACUGGAACCUGCUGUCAGAAUAUCUCUCUCAGCCUGAGGAGCAGGCAGACCAACUUCCCAAAUAGGGUAGAACCAGUGCUGUCACAAUGUUGCACAUAUGUAAAUAUGUUGUUUACUGAUCUCCUCUCCAUUCUAGCACCAUACGUUCUGUUGUUUACUGAUCUCCUCUCCAUUCUAGCACCAUACGUUCUGUUGUUUACUGAUCUCCUCUCCAUUCUAGCACCAUAUGUUCUUCAGAAGCUGGUCAGCAUAUGAAUAGAAUCCAUCUUCUCUCACCGUCUCCCCACAAGACCUACAUCACACAAGAUGCUUCAGAAUAACAACAACAAGCUGGUGAAGUUACUACCCAACAGGAACAGCCAUGACAACAACAACAAGCUGGUGAAGUUGCUACCCAACAGGAACAGCCAUGACAACAACAACAAGCUGGUGAAGUUGCUACCCAACAGGAACAGCCAUGACAACAACAACAAGCUGGUGAAGUUGCUACCCAACAGGAACAGCCAUGACAACAACAACAAGCUGGUGAAGUUGCUACCCAACAGGAACAACCAUGACAACAACAACAAGCUGGUGAAGUUACUACCCAACAGGAACAACCAUGACAACAACAACAAGCUGGUGAAGUUACUACCCAACAGGAACAAUCAUGACAACAACAACAAGCUGGUGAAGUUGCUACCCAACAGGAACAACCAUGACAACAACAACAAGCUGGUGAAGUUGCUACCCAACAGGAACAACCAUGACGACAACAACAAGCUGGUGAAGUUGCUACCCAACAGGAACAGCCAUGACGACAACAACAACAACAAGCUGGUGAAGUUGCUACCCAACAGGAACAGCCAUGACGACAACAACAACAAGCUGGUGCUUCUAGAAAAAACAAUCAAUUUGGAAACAUUAUGAAAAAGUGAAUGUCACCACCAUGGAUGUUUAAGUUAUAUAGUCUACCAAGUGUUAAUGUCUCCACCAUGGAUGUUUAAGUUAUAUAGUCUACCAAGUGUUAAUGUCACCACCAUGGAUGUUUAAGUUAUAUAGUCUACCAAGUGUUAAUGUCUCCACCAUG